This 392-nucleotide ribosomal RNA is filed under the name uncultured bacterium. RNAcentral's name for it is "bacterial SSU rRNA". It matches the Rfam family "Bacterial small subunit ribosomal RNA", at positions 28 to 423 of the family's 1533-position model. The record is from RNAcentral.
GACGAACGCUGGCGGCGUGCUUAACACAUGCAAGUCGAGCGGUAAGGCCCUUUUGGGGGUACACGAGCGGCGAACGGGUGAGUAACACGUGGGUGACCUGCCCUCAGCUCUGGGAUAAGCCUGGGAAACCGGGUCUAAUACCGGAUAUGACUCCAUGACGCAUGUUGUGGGGUGGAAAGCCUUGUGCGGCUGAGGAUGGACCCGCGGCCUAUCAGCUUGUUGGUGGGGUGAUGGCCUACCAAGGCGACGACGGGUAGCCGGCCUGAGAGGGCGACCGGCCACACUGGGACUGAGACACGGCCCAGACUCCUACGGGAGGCAGCAGUGGGGAAUCUUGCGCAAUGGGCGAAAGCCUGACGCAGCGACGCCGCGUGAGGGAUGACGGCCUCGGU